AGAGUUUGAUCAUGGCUCAGGAUGAACGCUAGCGGCAGGCUUAAUACAUGCAAGUCGGGGGGCAGCGGGGGUAGCAAUACCUGCCGGCGACCGGCAAACGGGUGCGGAACACGUACAGAACCUUCCUUUAAGUGGGGGAUAGCCCGAAGAAAUCCGGAUUAAUACCCCAUAGCAUUAUGAGACGGCAUCGUUUUAUAAUUAAAGAUUAAUUGCUUAAAGAUGGCUGUGCGUCUGAUUAGGUAGUUGGUGCGGGUAACGGCCCACCAAGCCUUCGAUCAGUAACUGGUGUGAGAGCACGACCAGUCACACGGGCACUGAGACACGGGCCCGACUCCUACGGGAGGCAGCAGUAAGGAAUAUUGGUCAAUGGACGCAAGUCUGAACCAGCCAUGCCGCGUGAAGGAUGAAGGUCCUCUGGAUUGUAAACUUCUUUUAUAUGGGACGAAACCCUUUUAUUCUUAAAAGAUUGACGGUACCAUAGGAAUAAGCACCGGCUAACUCCGUGCCAGCAGCCGCGGUAAUACGGAGGGUGCAAGCGUUAUCCGGAUUCACUGGGUUUAAAGGGUGCGUAGGUGGGUCUGUAAGUCAGUGGUGAAAUCUCCGGGCUCAACCCGGAAACUGCCAUUGAUACUAUAGAUCUUGAAUUUUCCGGAGGUAAGCGGAAUAUGUCUGUAGCGGUGAAAUGCUUAGAUAUGACAUAGAACACCGAUUGCGAAGGCAGCUUACUACAGGAACAUUGACACUGAGGCACGAAAGCGUGGGGAUCAAACAGGAUUAGAUACCCUAGUAGUCC
This 793-nucleotide ribosomal RNA is filed under the name uncultured bacterium. RNAcentral describes it as "bacterial SSU rRNA". It matches the Rfam family "Bacterial small subunit ribosomal RNA", at positions 8 to 796 of the family's 1533-position model. The record is from RNAcentral.